AGAGUUUGAUCCUGGCUCAGAUUGAACGCUGGCGGCAGGCCUAACACAUGCAAGUCGAACGGUAACAUUUCUAGCUUGCUAGAAGAUGACGAGUGGCGGACGGGUGAGUAAUGCUUGGGAACUUGCCUUUGCGAGGGGGAUAACAGUUGGAAACGACUGCUAAUACCGCAUAAUGUCUUCGGACCAAACGGGGCUUCGGCUCCGGCGCAAAGAGAGGCCCAAGUGAGAUUAGCUAGUUGGUAAGGUAACGGCUUACCAAGGCGACGAUCUCUAGCUGUUCUGAGAGGAAGAUCAGCCACACUGGGACUGAGACACGGCCCAGACUCCUACGGGAGGCAGCAGUGGGGAAUAUUGCACAAUGGGGGAAACCCUGAUGCAGCCAUGCCGCGUGUGUGAAGAAGGCCUUCGGGUUGUAAAGCACUUUCAGUUGUGAGGAAAAGUUAGUAGUUAAUACCUGCUAGCCGUGACGUUAACAACAGAAGAAGCACCGGCUAACUCCGUGCCAGCAGCCGCGGUAAUACGGAGGGUGCGAGCGUUAAUCGGAAUUACUGGGCGUAAGCGCACGCAGGCGGUUUGUUAAGCUAGAUGUGAAAGCCCCGGGCUCAACCCGGGAUGGUCAUUUAGAACUGGCAGACUAGAGUCUUGGAGAGGGGAGUGGAAUUCCAGGUGUAGCGGUGAAAUGCGUAGAUAUCUGGAGGAACAUCAGUGGCGAAAGCGACUCCCUGGCCAAAGACUGACGCUCAUGUGCGAAAGUGUGGGUAGCGAACAGGAUUAGAUACCCUG
This 783-nucleotide ribosomal RNA is filed under the name uncultured Alteromonas sp. Its description in RNAcentral is "bacterial SSU rRNA". It matches the Rfam family "Bacterial small subunit ribosomal RNA", at positions 8 to 789 of the family's 1533-position model. Lineage: Bacteria; Pseudomonadati; Pseudomonadota; Gammaproteobacteria; Alteromonadales; Alteromonadaceae. The record is from RNAcentral.